UACGAAGGGGGCUAGCGUUGUUCGGAUAUACUGGGCGUAAAGCGCACGUAGGCGGCGCCGUAAGUCAGGGGUGAAAUCCCGGAGCUCAACUCCGGAACUGCCCUUGAAACUGCAGUGCUAGAAUCUUGGAGAGGCGAGUGGAAUUCCGAGUGUAGAGGUGAAAUUCGUAGAUAUUCGGAAGAACACCAGUGGCGAAGGCGACUCGCUGGACAAGUAUUGACGCUGAGGUGCGAAAGCGUGGGGAGCAAACAGG
This 253-nucleotide ribosomal RNA is filed under the name uncultured bacterium. RNAcentral's name for it is "partial 16S ribosomal RNA". It matches the Rfam family "Bacterial small subunit ribosomal RNA", at positions 524 to 776 of the family's 1533-position model. The record is from RNAcentral.